Sphaerodactylus townsendi is the source of this 281-nucleotide long non-coding RNA. RefSeq lists it as uncharacterized. The transcript has 2 exons. The record is from RefSeq and is a predicted model, not a curated record. NCBI's taxonomy places the organism in Eukaryota, Metazoa, Chordata, Lepidosauria, Squamata, Sphaerodactylidae.
GCCAAGAGAAAGACAUACAAGGCUGCUGGUUAAAUCAUUAAUGUGUACCUGGGAGGGGGGAAUCCAACCCUGAUCAUCCCACAAAUCCAGGAUGCUGGGUCUUUGCUAUUGCGUCUAUAUUUCUGAAGCCACACCCUGGGUUCACAGCAUGAGACACCUUGACAGCACGGUCAUGGCUCCUCAACAGUGUUUCAGAAUUCUCCGGAAGACAAAGAAUGGAUCUGAGUUCAAAGACUACCAAAGCAAAUACACAUAAAAACUGAUCAUGUACUUAUUAAGAA